RNAcentral lists this ribosomal RNA (205 nucleotides) under uncultured bacterium. RNAcentral describes it as "partial 16S ribosomal RNA". It matches the Rfam family "Bacterial small subunit ribosomal RNA", at positions 568 to 774 of the family's 1533-position model. The record is from RNAcentral.
CACGUAGGCGGAUUUUUAAGUCAGGGGUGAAAUCCUGAGCUCAACUCCAGAACUGCCUUUGAUACUGGGAAUCUCGAGUCCGGGAGAGGUGAGUGGAACUGCGAGUGUAGAGGUGAAAUUCGUAGAUAUUCGCAAGAACACCAGUGGCGAAGGCGGCUCACUGGCCCGGUACUGACGCUGAGGUGCGAAAGCGUGGGAGCAAACA